UGCGGCUGGAUCACCUCCUUUCUAAGGAAGAUGUUGAGUAUCAUUGAA
Molecule: unclassified non-coding RNA, 48 nt
Filed under: Candidatus Liberibacter asiaticus
Lineage: Bacteria; Pseudomonadati; Pseudomonadota; Alphaproteobacteria; Hyphomicrobiales; Rhizobiaceae
Description: partial 16S-23S ribosomal RNA intergenic spacer
Source: RNAcentral